Molecule: ribosomal RNA, 494 nt
Filed under: uncultured bacterium
Lineage: Bacteria
Description: partial 16S ribosomal RNA
Rfam family: Bacterial small subunit ribosomal RNA
Source: RNAcentral
GACGAACGCUGGCGGCGUGCUUAACACAUGCAAGUCGAACGGAAAGGCCUGCUUUCCCUUGUGGAUUGCGGGUACUCGAGUGGCGAACGGGUGAGUAACACGUGAGUGAUCUGCCCCCAACUUGGGUAUAAGCCUGGGAAACUGGGUCUAAUUCCCGAUAGGACUGCAGGGUGGUGCCUGUGGUGGAAAACGAUUUUCUAGUGGUUGGGGAUGAGCUCGCGGCCUAUCAGCUUGUUGGUGGGGUAAUGGCCUACCAAGGCGGCGACGGGUAGCCGGCCUGAGAGGGUGGACGGCCACAUUGGGACUGGGAUACGGCCCAGACUCCUACGGGAGGCAGCAGUGGGGAAGAUUGCACAAUGGGCGGAAGCCUGAUGCAGCGACGCCGCGUGGGGGAUGACGGACUUCGGGUUGUAAACUCCUUUCGACCGCGAGGAAGCCACCUGGUUGGAAGGGUGGUGACGGUAGUGGUAGAAGAAGCACCGGCUAACUACGUG